GGAGAGAUGCCUGAGUGGUUGAAAGGGGCACCCUGCUAAGGUGUUAGCCGUGUAAGCGGCUCGAGGGUUCGAAUCCCUCUCUCUCCGC
This 88-nucleotide transfer RNA is filed under the name Parcubacteria group bacterium ADurb.Bin016. RNAcentral describes it as "tRNA-Ser". It matches the Rfam family "tRNA". Rfam says of the family: Transfer RNA (tRNA) molecules are approximately 80 nucleotides in length. Their secondary structure includes four short double-helical elements and three loops (D, anti-codon, and T loops). The record is from RNAcentral.